UGUGAGCUCGAUGAGUAGGGCGGGACACGUGGUAUCCUGUCUGAAUAUGGGGGGACCAUCCUCCAAGGCUAAAUACUCCUGACUGACCGAUAGUGAACCAGUACCGUGAGGGAAAGGCGAAAAGAACCCCGGCGAGGGGAGUGAAAAAGAACCUGAAACCGUGUACGUACAAGCAGUGGGAGCACGCUUAGGCGUGUGACUGCGUACCUUUUGUAUAAUGGGUCAGCGACUUAUAUUCUGUAGCAAGGUUAACCGAAUAGGGGAGCCGAAGGGAAACCGAGUCUUAACUGGGCGUUAAGUUGCAGGGUAUAGACCCGAAACCCGGUGAUCUAGCCAUGGGCAGGUUGAAGGUUGGGUAACACUAACUGGAGGACCGAACCGACUAAUGUUGAAAAAUUAGCGGAUGACUUGUGGCUGGGGGUGAAAGGCCAAUCAAACCGGGAGAUAGCUGGUUCUCCCCGAAAGCUAUUUAGGUAGCGCCUCGUGAAUUCAUCUCCGGGGGUAGAGCACUGUUUCGGCAAGGGGGUCAUCCCGACUUACCAACCCGAUGCAAACUGCGAAUACCGGAGAAUGUUAUCACGGGAGACACACGGCGGGUGCUAACGUCCGUCGUGAAGAGGGAAACAACCCAGACCGCCAGCUAAGGUCCCAAAGUCAUGGUUAAGUGGGAAACGAUGUGGGAAGGCCCAGACAGCCAGGAUGUUGGCUUAGAAGCAGCCAUCAUUUAAAGAAAGCGUAAUAGCUCACUGGUCGAGUCGGCCUGCGCGGAAGAUGUAACGGGGCUAAACCAUGCACCGAAGCUGCGGCAGCGACGCUUAUGCGUUGUUGGGUAGGGGAGCGUUCUGUAAGCCUGUGAAGGUGUGCUGUGAGGCAUGCUGGAGGUAUCAGAAGUGCGAAUGCUGACAUAAGUAACGAUAAAGCGGGUGAAAAGCCCGCUCGCCGGAAGACCAAGGGUUCCUGUCCAACGUUAAUCGGGGCAGGGUGAGUCGACCCCUAAGGCGAGGCCGAAAGGCGUAGUCGAUGGGAAACAGGUUAAUAUUCCUGUACUUGGUGUUACUGCGAAGGGGGGACGGAGAAGGCUAUGUUGGCCGGGCGACGGUUGUCCCGGUUUAAGCGUGUAGGCUGGUUUUCCAGGCAAAUCCGGAAAAUCAAGGCUGAGGCGUGAUGACGAGGCACUACGGUGCUGAAGYAACAAAUGCCCUGCUUCCAGGAAAAGCCUCUAAGCAUCAGGUAACAUCAAAUCGUACCCCAAACCGACACAGGUGGUCAGGUAGAGAAUACCAAGGCGCUUGAGAGAACUCGGGUGAAGGAACUAGGCAAAAUGGUGCCGUAACUUCGGGAGAAGGCACGCUGAUAUGUAGGUGAAGYSMCUUGCKSRUGGAGCUGAAAUCAGUCGAAGAUACCAGCUGGCUGCAACUGUUUAUUAAAAACACAGCACUGUGCAAACACGAAAGUGGACGUAUACGGUGUGACGCCUGCCCGGUGCCGGAAGGUUAAUUGAUGGGGUCAGCGCAAGCGAAGCUCUUGAUCGAAGCCCCGGUAAACGGCGGCCGUAACUAUAACGGUCCUAAGGUAGCGAAAUUCCUUGUCGGGUAAGUUCCGACCUGCACGAAUGGCGUAAUGAUGGCCAGGCUGUCUCCACCCGAGACUCAGUGAAAUUGAACUCGCUGUGAAGAUGCAGUGUACCCGCGGCAAGACGGAAAGACCCCGUGAACCUUUACUAUAGCUUGACACUGAACAUUGAGCCUUGAUGUGUAGGAUAGGUGGGAGGCUUKGAAGUGUGGACGCCAGUCUGCAUGGAGCCGACCUUGAAAUACCACCCUUUAAUGUUUGAUGUUCUAACGUUGACCCGUAAUCCGGGUUGCGGACAGUGUCUGGUGGGUAGUUUGACUGGGGCGGUCUCCUCCUAAAGAGUAACGGAGGAGCACGAAGGUUGGCUAAUCCUGGUCGGACAUCAGGAGGUUAGUGCAAUGGCAUAAGCCAGCUUGACUGCGAGCGUGACGGCGCGAGCAGGUGCGAAAGCAGGUCAUAGUGAUCCGGUGGUUCUGAAUGGAAGGGCCAUCGCUCAACGGAUAAAAGGUACUCCGGGGAUAACAGGCUGAUACCGCCCAAGAGUUCAUAUCGACGGCGGUGUUUGGCACCUCGAUGUCGGCUCAUCACAUCCUGGGGCUGAAGUAGGUCCCAAGGGUAUGGCUGUUCGCCAUUUAAAGUGGUACGCGAGCUGGGUUUAGAACGUCGUGAGACAGUUCGGUCCCUAUCUGCCGUGGGCGCUGGAGAACUGAGGGGGGCUGCUCCUAGUACGAGAGGACCGGAGUGGACGCAUCACUGGUGUUCGGGUUGUCAUGCCAAUGGCACUGCCCGGUAGCUAAAUGCGGAAGAGAUAAGUGCUGAAAGCAUCUAAGCACGAAACUUGCCCCGAGAUGAGUUCUCCCUGACUCCUUGAGAGUCCUGAAGGAACGUUGAAGACGACGACGUUGAUAGGCCGGGUGUGUAAGCGCAGCGAUGCGUUGAGCUAACCGGUACUAAUGAACCGUGAGGCUUAACCUUACAACGCCGAAG
RNAcentral lists this ribosomal RNA (2559 nucleotides) under Escherichia coli. RNAcentral describes it as "partial 23S ribosomal RNA". It matches the Rfam family "Bacterial large subunit ribosomal RNA", at positions 398 to 2925 of the family's 2925-position model. Lineage: Bacteria; Pseudomonadati; Pseudomonadota; Gammaproteobacteria; Enterobacterales; Enterobacteriaceae. The record is from RNAcentral.